Ornithorhynchus anatinus (platypus) is the source of this 138-nucleotide small nucleolar RNA. The record is from RefSeq and is a predicted model, not a curated record. NCBI's taxonomy places the organism in Eukaryota, Metazoa, Chordata, Mammalia, Monotremata, Ornithorhynchidae.
AACCUCUCAGGAUCACACCUGGAGAGUUUCCAGUCCUCUACCAGACUCGCCUACAGAAGGGAGGGACAGGCAGAGGCAUAUCCAUUCCAUUCCUAGCUUGGCCAGUGGCUAGCGAAUGGAAGGCCAUCUGCUACAAGC